RNAcentral lists this ribosomal RNA (484 nucleotides) under uncultured bacterium. RNAcentral's name for it is "partial 16S ribosomal RNA". It matches the Rfam family "Bacterial small subunit ribosomal RNA", at positions 30 to 507 of the family's 1533-position model. The record is from RNAcentral.
AUUGAACGCUGGCGGCAGGCCUAACACAUGCAAGUCGAGCGGAUGAAGGGAGCUUGCUCCUGGAUUCAGCGGCGGACGGGUGAGUAAUGCCUAGGAAUCUGCCUGGUCGUGGGGGAUAACGUCCGGAAACGGGCGCUAAUACCGCAUACGUCCUGAGGGAGAAAGGGGGGGAUCUUCGGACCUCACGCUAUCAGAUGAGCCUAGGUCGGAUUAGCUAGUUGGUGGGGUAAAGGCCUACCAAGGCGACGAUCCGUAACUGGUCUGAGAGGAUGAUCAGUCACACUGGAACUGAGACAUGGUCCAGACUCCUACGGGAGGCAGCAGUGGGGAAUAUUGGACAAUGGGCGAAAGCCUGAUCCAGCCAUGCCGCGUGUGUGAAGAAGGUCUUCGGAUUGUAAAGCACUUUAAGUUGGGAGGAAGGGCAGUAAGUUAAUACCUUGCUGUUUUGACGGUACCAACAGAAUAAGCACCGGCUAACUUCGUG